GAUUGAACGCUGGCGGCAUGCCUUACACAUGCAAGUCGAACGGCAGCACGGGAGCAAUCCUGGUGGCGAGUGGCGAACGGGUGAGUAAUACAUCGGAACGUGCCCAGUAGUGGGGGAUAACCCGGCGAAAGCCGGACUAAUACCGCAUACGACCUAUGGGUGAAAGCGGGGGAAUCGCAAGACCUCGCGCUAUCGGAGCGGCCGAUGUCAGAUUAGCUUGUUGGCGGGGUAAAAGCCCACCAAGGCGACGAUCUGUAGCUGGUCUGAGAGGACGACCAGCCACACUGGGACUGAGACACGGCCCAGACUCCUACGGGAGGCAGCAGUGGGGAAUUUUGGACAAUGGGCGCAAGCCUGAUCCAGCCAUGCCGCGU
RNAcentral lists this ribosomal RNA (374 nucleotides) under uncultured bacterium. Its description in RNAcentral is "bacterial SSU rRNA". It matches the Rfam family "Bacterial small subunit ribosomal RNA", at positions 27 to 402 of the family's 1533-position model. The record is from RNAcentral.